This 233-nucleotide unclassified non-coding RNA is filed under the name plant metagenome. RNAcentral's name for it is "partial contains small subunit ribosomal RNA, internal transcribed spacer 1, and 5.8S ribosomal RNA". The stretch from base 1 to 53 matches the Rfam family "Eukaryotic small subunit ribosomal RNA", at positions 1778 to 1831 of the family's 1831-position model. The record is from RNAcentral.
GGAAGUAAAAGUCUAACAAGGUUUCCGUAGGUGAACCUGCGGAAGGAUCAUUCAUAAUAUGUGUUUUAUGGCACUUUUUAAAUCCAUAUCCACCUUGUGUGCAAUGUCAGGGUUGAUUUUUCUCUCGAGAGGAUCAACCCCAAACAUCAACUAUAUCUCAACUCUUUGUCUGAAAAAUAUUAUGAAUAAAACAAUUCAAAAUACAACUUUCAACAACGGAUCUCUUGGCUCUC